This is a microRNA precursor of Aotus nancymaae (Ma's night monkey), 80 nucleotides long. The record is from Ensembl. Lineage: Eukaryota; Metazoa; Chordata; Mammalia; Primates; Aotidae.
GCAAAGCAGCAAUUGUUCUUUGGUCUUUCAGCCAUGACCUGACCUUCUGUCUGUAAGACCAAAGAACUACUUUGCUUGGC